Chinchilla lanigera (long-tailed chinchilla) is the source of this 1198-nucleotide long non-coding RNA. RefSeq lists it as uncharacterized. The transcript is spliced from 3 exons. The record is from RefSeq and is a predicted model, not a curated record. NCBI's taxonomy places the organism in Eukaryota, Metazoa, Chordata, Mammalia, Rodentia, Chinchillidae.
UUACUAUGUAGUUCAGGCUGGCCAUGAACUCCAGUGAUCCUCCUGCCUCAGCCUCCCAAGAGCUGGAAUUACCACCAUGCUCUGGCAGCUAUUGCGUUCAAAAUUUACCUUUUGGAUAGUUUAGGUAUCAACACACAUUGCUCUAACUACUAAACAGUUUGCCUAUGACACAGGAAUCUUCCCAGUCUGAAAGUUCAUCCUAGUCACUGCAAGAUACGAGAAAAAGGUAAAGCAGAAACCAGAAGGCGGGCACACAACUGUUAAAACCACCAGUGCAUUCUUCUGUGCUCAGGUGUCCUGAAGAGAAGUGAAGCAAAUGGGAAGUUGGUCUCAAAUACUAUGAAGAAGUUGAAACCAGGAGCUGUUGGAUAAUAAGGACGGACCAAGGAAAAUGUGGCUCUAGAACACAGAGGUCAGUCGAUUACCUGACCCCGUGGAGGUGGGGCCGGUCUGGUUGAUGAGCAAACCAGAGGCAGGAGUGGCACUUCAGAGGAAAGCCGAGCUCAGAUUUUGAACAGAUAAGCAGCCACCGCUGUGUUUGAAAGGCUUAUUUUUAUUUUGUACUCAUAAAGAUCGCCUUUCCAACAUCUGCCUCGUGUUUAUAAACUGAAAGUUCCUGAUUCCAAUAUUUUGUUAUGAAAUUGAAUUAUCACAGUCUGGGAUUGUGCAACCACAAAUAAACGGCCCCCUGGUGGAGCUGAUCUAAACUGCAAGGGACUCAUGGUCUUGGGAGCCUCGCGAUGCUUCUGCGCCUCCAGGGCAGCUCCGCAGCCGCCUGUUUCAGAGAUAAGAGAAAACGCAGUCAAAUCUGUUACCUUCGUUUGUCUCUGGGAACAGGGCAGAAUAUUGGAGCUGAUGGAACAGAGACCAGUGCCAUUAAUGUGCAAACGCCCUGGCCUGUGACCGGUGGUCUCCUAGGCGGAAUGGAGCCUAUCAUAUCACAUAGAGGCCUCCCAGAGUGAAGAAAUAUAUGGAACUUUGGGAAUCAUUCCAGAGUCUAAAACUGCACUCCAGUUUGCCAGCCGGCAGCCACAUGUGGCUAGCGAGUAUCUGAAAUGUGGCUAGUUUAAGCUGACAGGUGCUGUUGGAUAAAAACAAGUCACAUGUGAGGAACGUGAAAAAAUGUAAAAAUACUAGUUUUAUAAUGAUUGCAAGUUAAGUAAUAAUUGGAUCCAUCCAGUUGAAUGAAACAUACUUU